This 385-nucleotide ribosomal RNA is filed under the name Choanoflagellata sp. Its description in RNAcentral is "partial small subunit ribosomal RNA". It matches the Rfam family "Eukaryotic small subunit ribosomal RNA", at positions 582 to 975 of the family's 1831-position model. Lineage: Eukaryota; Choanoflagellata. The record is from RNAcentral.
AUUCCAGCUCCAAUAGCGUAUAUUAAAGUUGUUGCAGUUAAAAAGCUCGUAGUUGGACUUCUGGGCCGUUUUGUUGGUCUGCCGCAAGGCUGCACUAGCGGGAUGGCCCAUCCUCUCGAAGGCUGGGGGUGCUCUUAACUGGGUGCUUUCAGAACUCGGGAUCUUUACUUUGAAAAAAUUAGAGUGUUCAAAGCAGGCUUACGCUUGAAUACAUUAGCAUGGAAUAAUGGAAUAGGACUUUGGUUCUAUUUUGUUGGUUUCUAGAACUGAAGUAAUGAUUAAUAGGGAUAGUUGGGGGCAUUAGUAUUUAAUUGUCAGAGGUGAAAUUCUUGGAUUUAUGAAAGACUAACUUCUGCGAAAGCAUUUGCCAAGGAUGUUUUCAUUA